CCUGCAUGAAGUUGGAAUCGCUAGUAAUCGCGGAUCAGCAUGCCGCGGUGAAUACGUUCCCGGGCCUUGUACACACCGCCCGUCACACCAUGAGAGUCGGGAACACCCGAAGUCCGUAGCCUGACCGCAAGGGGGGCGCGGCCGAAGGUGGGUUCGAUAAUUGGGGUGAAGUCGUAACAAGGUAAC
This 186-nucleotide ribosomal RNA is filed under the name uncultured bacterium. RNAcentral describes it as "partial 16S ribosomal RNA". It matches the Rfam family "Bacterial small subunit ribosomal RNA", at positions 1315 to 1500 of the family's 1533-position model. The record is from RNAcentral.